AGAACGUUGCCAAGCAACCGAAGAAUCGAUCAUAAACAAACAUUCGAUAAGAAUGAACUAAUUUUAAAAUGUCAAAUAAAUUGUAUCAAUCAUUGUGGAAAGAUGUACAGAAUUCACUUAGAUUUAUUUUAGAUGAUGAUAAACCAGUUUCUCCUGAAAAAGAUUUGCAGAACACAUUUAAUAGAAUAGCUAUUUUAUAUUUGAGAUACAUAAAAAUUGUCAAAAACUUGGAAAAAUGUUACGAUCAAAUUAUUCAACCACAGAAAAUAUUAACAUUCAGAAAGAUAUUAGAGGGAGUGAUUGGACGUAUUUUGGAAUUGAAGGCAGAAUUAGUUAAAAUAGAAAAUCAAGAGUUUCAUUUUAUAAAUAAUCUUCUCUUAGAUAUGAGAAUGAUUCCAAAGGAUUUGGAAUUACCUAUUCCAAAAUGGUAUUUGUUACCGAAAGAAGAAGAGGUUGAAAUAAUUUAUCAAAAAGGUUUCCAGAAAACUUCAAUAAAUAAAAUUAAUAAGGCAAAUAAUGAUAUAAUUGAGUGCUUUGAUGAUGCAGCAGUUUUAAUUCAAAAUCAUGAAAGAUCAAGACAAUGCAGAGCAAAGUAUCUUAAUGUCAGGAUAAAAAAGAAAAAAGACAAUAAAAUGUGUUCAUCUAUGGAAUAUGAGAAUGCAGCAUUUUUAAUUCAAAAAAAUUGGAAAUUAUACAGUACUAGGAAGAAAAAUAAAGUUAACUUAAUUAGAGAAAAAAAAUUGCUUGGAAUGCUAUCUUCAACAAUAUUACCAGCAGACAUAAAAACAACAUAUAAUGGUGAUUUGGAACAGCACAGAGAAUUACAGCAUAAAAUGAAAGCAGAAAACUUAAAACUAUAUGAAAAAUCUCUUGUUGAUAUUAAGAUGCAAAUAAGAUUACAAGAAUCAGAUGACAUGAAAGAAAAAUUAAAAGAUGAUAUCCGAAAAUGGUAUCUUUCAUACAGAAGUAAACAUAGCACUUAUCCCAAUUUUCCAUCUGAAAAAGAAGGUGGUUCAAAUUUGAUUUUUCAUCCUCAAACAGUAGAACAAAAUAAAACUCCAGAAAAUGUUGUUACAUCCCAUUCCAGUUGUGUUCCACUUAUUAUUGAAGGAUGUCUUGAAUACAAAACUCUAUGGGAAAAUCAAAAUGAAAUAAAUAAUGAUCUUCAGUUGUAUGAAAAAGAAAUGAUAAGGCAACAAAAGUUUAUAGAAGUGAAGGAAGAAGUUCGAAUGCAAGUUGAUGAAAUAAUGAGAUUUGAAUUAGAAGUUUUAAAAGUGGCUCUAGCAAAGGAUAAAGGAAUAAAGUUAAAAAAAAGAAAGGGAAAAGUAAGAGGAAAGAAAACUAAAAAGAAGAGAGAUUUGACAGCAGAUAGAUCUUUAGAAUCCUUAUAUAAAGAAUUGUUGGAUAAUGGUAUAAUUAUAAAGAGUGUUCCUACAAGUUUGGAUGAUUAUUUUGGUGAUUACAAUUUUAUUGGCUCAUCAUUGUUAAGUCAAGGAAUUGAACCAGUUUGGCAUUAUUGUGCUGAUAUAAAACAUAUUAUUAUUGCAUAUUGCAUUCUUCCUUUAAGUAAUCCUAAUGUCCAUAAACUUACUCCACUUAUAAAAUCUAUACUUUUUUUUGGUCCUCAUGGUGUUGGAAAGAAAUUCUUAGUUAAUGCAAUAUGUUCAGCAACACAAUCCAUAAUAUUUGAUUUAUCUCCAGAAAAUAUUAUUGGAAAAUAUCCAGGAAAAGCAGGUUCAAAAAUGCUUAUGCAUCUUGUUGAAAAAGUGGGUAAAGCAUUUCAGCCAGCUGUUGUCAUUGUGAAAAAUGCUGAAAAAUCAUUUAUGAGAAAAUUACCAAAAACUGAUAAGUUAUUUGGAAGAAUUUAAUUCUUCAAGCAAAGGGUGAAAUAACUCCACAGCUGCACUUACCAACUCUUUCUAAAAUUUCUGAUGGAUACACAGGAAGUCAAAUAAAAUUAGCUGUUCAAAAGACAUUAAUAUCAAGAAGAAUUGGUGUGCUAAAAGAAGCUCCUUUAUCAGAAAUAGAAUUUAUUGAACCAUUAAGUAAAUAUGUACCUCUUUAUAAUGUUGAAAUUGAAGCUUAUAAGGUAAAAU
RNAcentral lists this unclassified non-coding RNA (2096 nucleotides) under Centruroides sculpturatus (bark scorpion). RNAcentral's name for it is "iQ and AAA domain-containing protein 1-like, transcript variant X2". Lineage: Eukaryota; Metazoa; Arthropoda; Arachnida; Scorpiones; Buthidae. The record is from RNAcentral.